GACGAACGCUGGCGGCGUGCUUAACACAUGCAAGUCGAGCGAGAAAGCACCUUCGGGUGUGAGUACAGCGGCGAACGGGUGAGUAACACGUGGGCAACCUGCCCCGGAGACUGGGAUAACGUCCCGAAAGGGACGCUAAUACCGGAUGACGCGUGACCUGCCAAGUGGGUCACGCCAAAUGGUAGCCUCGGCUUCUGCUCCGGGAUGGGCCCGCGCCGGAUUAGCUUGUUGGUGGGGUAACGGCCCACCAAGGCGACGAUCCGUAGCUGGUCUGAGAGGACGAUCAGCCACACUGGGACUGAGACACGGCCCAGACUCCUACGGGAGGCAG
Molecule: ribosomal RNA, 331 nt
Filed under: uncultured Actinomycetes bacterium
Lineage: Bacteria; Bacillati; Actinomycetota; Actinomycetes
Description: bacterial SSU rRNA
Rfam family: Bacterial small subunit ribosomal RNA
Source: RNAcentral